CAUGCAGUCGACGAUGAUGCCCACUUGUGGGUGGAUUAGUGGCGAACGGGUGAGUAACACGUGAGUAACCUGCCCUUGACUCUGGGAUAAGCCUGGGAAACUGGGUCUAAUACCGGAUAUGACCUUCCAUCGCAUGGUGGUUGGUGGAAAGCUUUUGUGGUUUUGGAUGGACUCGCGGCCUAUCAGCUUGUUGGUGGGGUAAUGGCCUACCAAGGCGACGACGGGUAGCCGGCCUGAGAGGGUGACCGGCCACACUGGGACUGAGACACGGCCCAGACUCCUACGGGAGGCAGCAGUGGGGAAUAUUGCACAAUGGGCGCAAGCCUGAUGCAGCGACGCCGCGUGAGGGAUGACGGCCUUCGGGUUGUAAACCUCUUUCAGUAGGGAAGAAGCGAAAGUGACGGUACCUGCAGAAGAAGCGCCGGCUAACUACGUGCCAGCAGCCGCGGUAAUACGUAGGGCGCAAGCGUUAUCCGGAAUUAUUGGGCGUAAAGAGCUCGUAGGCGGUUUGUCGCGUCUGCCGUGAAAGUCCGGGGCUCAACUCCGGAUCUGCGGUGGGUACGGGCAGACUAGAGUGAUGUAGGGGAGACUGGAAUUCCUGGUGUAGCGGUGAAAUGCGCAGAUAUCAGGAGGAACACCGAUGGCGAAGGCAGGUCUCUGGGCAUUAACUGACGCUGAGGAGCGAAAGCAUGGGGAGCGAACAGGAUUAGAUACCCUGGUAGUCCAUGCCGUAAACGUUGGGCAC
RNAcentral lists this ribosomal RNA (745 nucleotides) under Arthrobacter sp. RNAcentral describes it as "bacterial SSU rRNA". It matches the Rfam family "Bacterial small subunit ribosomal RNA", at positions 54 to 816 of the family's 1533-position model. Lineage: Bacteria; Bacillati; Actinomycetota; Actinomycetes; Micrococcales; Micrococcaceae. The record is from RNAcentral.